UACAGAGGUCUCAAGCGUUGUUCGGAUUCAUUGGGCGUAAAGGGUGCGUAGGCGGCGCGGUAAGUCAGGGGUGAAAUCCCGGAGCUCAACUCCGGAACUGCCUUUGAUACUGCCGGGCUUGAGUCCGGGAGAGGUGAGUGGAAUUCCCAGUGUAGCGGUGAAAUGCGUAGAUAUUGGGAGGAACACCAGUGGCGAAGGCGGCUCACUGGACCGGAACUGACGCUGAGGCGCGAAAGCGUGGGGAGCAAACAGG
Molecule: ribosomal RNA, 253 nt
Filed under: uncultured bacterium
Lineage: Bacteria
Description: partial 16S ribosomal RNA
Rfam family: Bacterial small subunit ribosomal RNA
Source: RNAcentral